UCAACUAUCAACCGCCGCCAACGAUGCCCUGGCCUCCACCACCGCUGCCACCGCUAGGCCUUCCUUCUAUCUUUCCUCCAUCUGGCGCUACAGGCACUCCUAAUCAAUCGAUUGGGGGUUCAAAUGAGCCUCCGGACGAGCAUUCACCGGCACCGGCAGCGUCGCAGUGGCCACCUAGUUGAUUUAGAGUUGUUUACGAUAUUUGUUCUACAGACUUGUUGUUGUUGGACUAGACUUGUUUAAUUAGUUGGACUUGUGCUUGUUGAACGUUACACUUAUGGCAUCGAUGUUGGACUUAUGCUAUUUGUGAUAUUCGUGCGACGUAGCGUGAGAUAUUUGUGUUA
Panicum virgatum (switchgrass) is the source of this 344-nucleotide long non-coding RNA. RefSeq lists it as uncharacterized. The record is from RefSeq and is a predicted model, not a curated record. The transcript is spliced from 2 exons. NCBI's taxonomy places the organism in Eukaryota, Viridiplantae, Streptophyta, Magnoliopsida, Poales, Poaceae.